ACGUGCACGGACACGUUCUCCUCGCCCUGCCGCAGGGCGAGCAGCACCCACAAGGACACCAACAGCAAAAAAAAAACAAUGAAAAUGACGGAAGAGCCCCCCAAGAAACAGCAACGACACGAAACGAAGGAGAACGCGAGAAACACGUGUGUGGGUUAGUGACCUCUCUUUUCGUGGGUGCCACCUUUUCGUCGCUGGGCAAGCUGUUUGCUGUGGCUGCGAUACCGUAUUCUGUCUGCUUGUGUGUGUCUGUGUGCGAAGAGAACGACGUUGACUUUGAUCGGCGACACUUGAACACCACGCGUUCUAGUUUUUUUCUUCUUCGCCAGCUGCGCAUACAAACCAAGUCGCAUACCCGUUGCCGCCACACGCACAGACACACCUUUCAUUCCCCCCUCCUCCGCAGCUCUCGUGGAGACACUGCAGCGCUCCUUUUUAUUUUGUGUGACUCUUUCGCGCGUCUUCCGCUUCGCGCAUCGCUCAAAGUGCAUGCGUAGGCGUACUUCUCCUUCCUCACAUCUUUUCCGUUGUGUCUGCGCUUUCCUUCAUCACCGACAAGCCCUGAGCGACUACAAAAACGCACGGAAUAGCCGCAAGACAAAAAAGCGAAAAACAAAGGUGAGUGCUUCAGCACUUAUAUAGGUGGAUGUUGAGUUUCGGGUUCUCCGUUCCUUCACAAACGCUGGCUCGAAAAAAAAAACGCAAAACAACCACAAGACUGUACGGCUAAAGAGGGACUGAUGUGACGGAGAUUUUGCCGCCCUUUUUGUACCCCAGCGUUCUUCUGUGCCUGCGUGCAUGUAUUUGCGGACAGUGCCUCUUGUAUCCCUUCUUCUCUGCCUCCUAGCCUGUGUUUUCCCUUCUUGCACCCCUGCGCUCUAUGGCUUCCUUGCGCGCGCCGCUCUCUCUCUGAGAGCAAUACGUCUCUCUCCGUUGGGUAACCUUCUUUGCAUCCAAGUGAACCGCUCUCUCUAGUUUUUUCUGUUGCUGCUCUCCCUCCCCUUCUCCGUGUUGGUCCGUUCGGUUGUUGUUAUCUCCGCUUUCUCCGAUCCCUGCAUCUCUUCUUGUGUUCGUCUUCCUUGACGCCGGCGUCAUCAUCGAUGACGGCGGACACGCCCAUGUGCGUGGUAUCCCAGACUGCAGUGCAGCCCCCCCCUCCCCUCCCCCCACACCACCAGCUCUCUCCGCGUGGGGAGAAGCCGAGCGGCACCCCUCCCCUCUCCUCUAUCGGCCUGCCCAUGCCGAACCGCUUGUGGCGCUGACAGGGUCAGGGCGAUGUAUCGCUACCCCUGCCAGCGGCCAGGUGCUGCAUCGGCGAGGCAUCGCUGCGGCCUGCGACAGUGCACCGGUCUGACCCGUCCAUAUGAUGGGGGAAGUGCCAGCGCAAUGCAAAGAUGUCUCACCCGGGCCUCACUGCCGACUGGUGUGGGGAGCCGGAGCCCCCUCCCGAGGGGGCCGCACCAGGGGUGGCGGCCUGCAUGGUGGGAGGAGCUGCUGUGAGGCGGGGUGGGUUGGUGGCGUUUGAGGGCAGGGGCCGUGCUCUCAGAUGGCUGAGUCGGCACCUCGCUGCAAGGUGCGUGUGCCUAGGGCCGCCAUCGCCCCACGCGAUGGAGGGCGUGUGACAGGGCCGGGGGUGGAGUGGAGCCCGAACUCAUGUUGUAUGGCAGAGAAACGCGCACGCUGAAAAACAAAAUGCCUUCAUCUUACGCACGCCUCUUUUUCCUCCUCCCUGCGAUCGAUGUUUUUUAUUCCUUGCCGAUCAUCAAAAAAG
Molecule: unclassified non-coding RNA, 1771 nt
Filed under: Leishmania donovani
Lineage: Eukaryota; Euglenozoa; Kinetoplastea; Trypanosomatida; Trypanosomatidae
Description: gene:unknown
Source: RNAcentral